AUACGGAGGAUGCAAGCGUUAUCCGGAUUUAUUGGGUUUAAAGGGUGCGUAGGCGGAUGAUUAAGCGUGAGGUGAAAUGCCACUGCUCAACAGUGGAACUGCCUCGCGAACUGGUUGUCUUGAAUGCUCCUGCCGUGGGAGGAAUGUGUGGUGUAGCGGUGAAAUGCAUAGAGAUCACACAGAACACCGAUUGCGAAGGCAUCUCACGAAGGGGUGAUUGACGCUGAGGCACGAAAGCGUGGGGAUCGAACAGGAUUAGAUACCCUGGUAGUCCACGCAGUAAACGAUGAUAACUAACCGCUGGGUCGUAGUGAUUCAGUGGCCAAGCGAAAGCGAUAAGUUAUCCACCUGGGGAGUACGACCGCAAGGUUGAAACUCAAAUGAAUUGGCGGGG
Molecule: ribosomal RNA, 394 nt
Filed under: uncultured bacterium
Lineage: Bacteria
Description: partial 16S ribosomal RNA
Rfam family: Bacterial small subunit ribosomal RNA
Source: RNAcentral